GGGCCAGACUCCUACGGGAGGCAGCAGUGGGGAAUAUUGCACAAUGGGGGAAACCCUGAUGCAGCGACGCCGCGUGAGCGAUGAAGUAUUUCGGUAUGUAAAGCUCUAUCAGCAGGGAAGAAGAUGACGGUACCUGACUAAGAAGCCUCGGCUAACUACGUGCCAGCAGCCGCGGUAAUACGUAGGGGGCAAGCGUUAUCCGGAUUUACUGGGUGUAAAGGGAGCGUAGACGGCGAUGCAAGCCAGAUGUGAAAGCCCGGGGCUCAACCCCGGGACUGCUCUGGGAACUGUGCGGCUGGAGUGCGGGAGGGGCAGGCGGAAUUCCUGGUGUAGCGGUGAAAUGCGUAGAUAUCAGGAGGAACACCGGCGGCGAAGGCGGCCUGCUGGACCGCGACUGACGUUGAGGCUCGAAAGCGUGGGGAGCAAACAGGAUUAGAUACCCCUGUA
Molecule: ribosomal RNA, 447 nt
Filed under: uncultured bacterium
Lineage: Bacteria
Description: bacterial SSU rRNA
Rfam family: Bacterial small subunit ribosomal RNA
Source: RNAcentral